AAGAGAGAAGUAACAUUUUGAAGUAUUUAUCUGGUCAUCUCCAACACAACACUUACCUUGAACUCUCAGAAUCAACCAUGUCCAACAAAUUGUUUUUCUCCCAGAAUCUUGUUUUAGGUGUCAUAACAACUAAAUCAACAACCUUAAAAUUCAACAACCACUUCUCAUUCCCAUUCUCACUCAAAUGCAGCAGCAUCACAACAUCUCAAUCAGAAUCAAUCACACAACCUUUUGCUGUAUCUUAUCUUAUCAACAAUUUUGAUUUCUCAACUGAAUCAGCUCUCAAAGCUUUCAACCUCAGGCAAGUUCGUUUCAAUACCCCAGAUAAUCCUGACUCAGUCAUCAACUUCUUUCAAAACCAUGGUUUUUCACACUCUGACAUACGCAUCAUCAUCAAAAAAGCACCAUGGUUACUUUCAUCACAACCCCACAAAAGGUUAUUGCCUAAGUUUCAAUUUUUUAUAUCCAACGGUGCUUCUUUAUCUGAUAUUGUUCCAUUGUUAACUGCAAACCCUCACAUUUUACAAAGUAGCUUGGACAAACGGAUAAUCCCUCUUUUUCAAUUAUUAAAUAGGUUUUUGAAAACCAACAAGGAUACUAUUGUUUACUUAAUUCUAAAUUCAAGGUCGUUUAUAACUCCCCUUCACCUUCUAGAGGCUAAUAUCAAUUUGAUGGUUGAUUUUGGAGUUUGUGAUUCUGCCAUUGCUAGAUUGCUUCGAACUAGGAAAUCUAUAUAUUGUUCAAAUGAUUUGAUUAAGUCAUUGGAGGACGUUAAGGGUUUAGGGUUUGACCCUUCAACGGCCGCUUUUGGGACUGCUUUGGUGACCAAGCAUUGUAUGAGUAACAUACUUUGGGAUAAGAAAGUUGACGUCUUUAAGAAAUGGGGUUGGUCUGAUGAAGAUGUUAUUCGAGUAUUUAGGUGUCAGCCUAGUUUGAUGUUGGCUUCAAUUGAUAAGAUUAAUUUGGUGAUGAGUUUUUGGGUUAAUCAAAUGGGUUGGGAUCCCUUGGAACUUACUAAAUCUCCACUUAUGUUUGGUUAUAGUUUACCAAAACGGAUCAUUCCAAGAGCCUCAGUUUUGCAAUUUAUUUUGAUGAAAGGUUUGCGGAAAAAAAAUGCGAGCUUAGGUAGACCAUUUUCUUAUUCUGAGAAUAUGUUCUUGAACAAGUGUGUUUUCAGCUUUAAGGAGGAGUCUGAUUAUCUGUUGAAGCUAUAUGACGAAAAAAUGAAACUUGCAAAUACAACGGAGAACAAUGGGAUGCCAUCCACCAAAUGUAUAAGAUUUUGAUCUUCUUUUGUAAUAUAACCUUAUCUUGUUCCUUCUUUGAUUUCAAGUACUUAUUCUUUCUAGGCCAGGAUAAGGGGUUGGUAUUGUUGGCUUGUUUCAUUUACUAAUUUGAACUACUGUUAUUUUUUCGUUACCAUCAAUUUUAGUUACAAUUUCGAUGCAUAGGUCUUGCAUUUUGUAUAUAGUAGUUACAAUUUCUUUAGACCUUGUACUGUUGUACAUGUGAAAGUUCAAAUGGUCUUGCAUUUGGUCUGAGAAUGCUUGUCUCAUCCUGUUAGUUCUUCUUUGUUUAUUUGGCCCAAGAAUCCAUAGUAUAUACAAAUUACAUAUGCAGAUUCUUCAUGAUUGAAGCUUUCAGCUUUCAGCUUUAGACUUGUAAAUGCAUCUUUUAACUACUUUUUCUCUACACAUUGUCAUUUUAAGGGAACUUCUAUCUUUUAAGAUUUAAGUAAGUUACCAUUUUCUAUUGCUAAUAUAGUCAUAUGCAAUGAGAUUAAACAGAUUUGUGGUCUUUUUUAAAGCAAUCACAAGCUAACUCUCAUCCGAUCUGCUUGUUGGGUCGCUCAGAGAGGAAGGAAGCAAUCCGUUUAGAAAGCGGAGGCCACUAUCUUACUAAAAGCAUGACAUGAUUUGUAAAGAGGUUAAUGGAGAAUGUGUAAAUACUCACGGGUCGGAGUCCUGGGUGAAGAUGUGCUGCUGGUUGUCAUUGAACCAGUGCUUUCCUAUGGUAGAAGAAACUGAUGGAAAUUGACAUUGAUUGGGGAUUUCAUAUAUCAAUUGGAUCUAAAUAUAGACGGCAAUAAUCAAAUCCUUCUCUAAUCCCUGAUGUUUGUCUUCCAGGUAGUCUAUACUUCAAUCCAUGGACCAUAGUCAUCGAAGAGGGAGAGGAUAUGGAAUCCGGCAGCAAGGGGAAAAAUUUCUUGGGCAAAACAAGAUAAGUUAUAUAAUGAAAAUACGACUAAUUUAUGUUAUCACAGGUUUUUUUUUUUUCAAUGUUGUUUUCAGCCCAUCACCAAUUUUUUAUUAAAAUUUCUAUAAAUUUUUCUUGUAUGAAUUAUUUAGAUUUUUAUUGGGUAGUGUAUGAAAGACGUAGUUUUUGAUAGAACACUCUGGUUUCGUUUGAUUCAUGUAGCCGACGCAACUUAGUGGGAUAAGGCUUGGUUGCUGUUGUUGUUGUUUUGAUGUUUGAAACAAUGGUGCAGCAAUACAUGCAGAAACUUACAGACCAAUGUUGCGCCUCAUUAGACAUCUAAAAAACAAAACCAACAAUACGAUGAAGGAGGAUCAUGAGAACAGGGUUGAUGAACUACAAUAUAUUUUAUCAACAAUGGAUCACGUUUCCUUUAGCUUGCCAUAGCAUUUUCACUAAUUUCCUUCGCUUUACAUUCUGUUAGAACGGAUUUGUCAUUUUCCCUUGCUGCAAUUUGAUUCCAUUUUUGUGUUAUUCAUAUCAUGCGGAUCUGUUGACAUCUGGCUGUGAUCAUUGUAAUUGAUUGAAGACUAUUUAGCUAACUUUGAUUGAACGAAAAAGGCAAGCAAGAAUUAAGUCACAUUUUCCCUCUGUCAAAUUCUCUUUCUGUUUGGACUUCUAUUUCUGUGUCUUAUCACCUUCCCAUUGUAUGAUGGGUUUUGUUUGAUUGCAUUUUAAAGAGUACAGCUUCACAUGUUACAUGUUAACUGAAAACACGGUAUUAUGUGCAUACAAUUUAGUUGAUUGUGCAGUUUGUAAAUUUCUGAUAUAUUAUACAAUUAGAUUUUUCACAAGUUAUAUGUUUUCUUUUGACUUGUUGCAUGCAUCUUGACUAAAUUUCAGUUUGUAAAUCUCUUAAAGCUUAAAGAAUUGUUUCUGUUAUACAUUUUGGAGAGACUGUGCAUGUAAUAAGACAAGUAUAUUAGCAUAGAGCCUCCAACUCAGUCAAAACAAAAUGGGACUAGACAAUGACGUAAGAAACCAUGGUCCAUGUUUGUAGCAAUACUAACCAUAUUGCGUGAUAACGGGCAAGACACGCGAUCGUAGUGGAGCUACACAACAAGAACAGUGUCAGCGGAUCAUGUCUUGAAGGAGGAGACCGACAACCAAACGUGGGGUGACAUGAUCCCGUAAACGAGGAAAAAUCAUACACCAUCAAAAUAGCUGAGAAUAGGUUUAGCAUUGUAGGCAAUGUUGUUUGGCUAAUAUGCAAUAGUUUUAAUAUAAAAACUCAGUUCAUACACUGUAAUUAACUUAUCCAAUCAAUGAAACAAAUUUAUUUCACAUUUUUUAUCCUUUUAUUUUUCUGUCUUUAGCUUUAUUUUAUACGUUUGUUGAUGUAGCUCAAAAACUAAAAAAAUAAUCAUACAUAACAAAAUGUGGGAGAAGUUAAGAGAAUUCAUAACUGAUCCGCAAAUUAAUCUACGGGAGUGGUUAUGGUGCAUAAGGAAAUUCUUAUGCACCGUGCAUAAAUCUCAACAUAAUUGCUUCCUACACCCCCAAAGUGAGCCAAAACCAUUUUUGUUCAAAAUAAAAGAAAUCUGAUGGUUGUGAUGUGUUUAUGCACGGUGCAUAAGGAAAUAACUUAUGCACCAUAACUUUUGCCGUCCAUAUAAUGGUUGAGCAUUGGAGUGUGUAGUUCGAAUUAGUUUCAUCUAUUGGUCCGAUUAGAAAACUCAAUGGAAGCUAGUGUAAUUUUCCCUAAUUAAAAAAAAUAAUAAUGGUUUGUUUGAGAAAUGUCAUUUCAUCAUAUAUAGUUUAUUUCAUGAAAUUUCAAAGGAAAAAAAAAAUGCUUAUUUCACGAAUUUAUAUUUUAUUUUUCAGACGAUAUUUUAAAUAACGUUUAAGCUCUUAACUUAACAUUUUUUUCUUUAAUUUUUAUUUUUAUUAUUUUAUUUAAAAUUCAAUUUUACCCAUUAGAAUUUAUUAUCAUAUAAAAUGAUAUAUAUGGUUCCUUGAUAGAUAUCGUUGUUAAAGAUAUUAUAUGAUGUACGUAAAGGUUAGAGUGCGAACUUCAUUCAUUCAUUCAUCAUAAAAAGGUGAAUUUCUAAAUUGUUAGACUACUUAAAAAAAUCCAUUUGUCUUUCCUAUAAGUGUACCUUUUUUUUUUUUUUUUUAACAAUAAAAAAUGGAAUUAUAUUAACAACAAGAGUCUCAUUAGCACAAGGCGUGCCUCAAAGACUCGUCAAGAAAACACCAAAAAGUAGAAGUCAGUACAACAACGAAACCAACUCAACCAAUACCCAAACAUUGUAAAGGGCUUGACCACCAACUAUUAGUGUCAAACAUAAAAGAGACUUUUCUAACUUUCAACCAACCUAAGGACAAAUAUUUUACUUUGUCAAGCAACCUGGGCAAAGGAGUCACAUGAUUAUUAAAACACCUAUUGUUACGUUCAGUCCAUAAGACCCAGACACAGAGUAGCCAAAUUAGUUGGAGAAAAUAUUUUGUCGCCUUACUCCCAACUGUUGUGUGAACAAACUGAACAAAGUGGUCAAACAAAUCAUUAGUAUCCACUCCAACAAAACCAAUCCAAUCACGAACCAUCAGCCAAAGUGAAGCGAAGGAAGAGCACGAAAGAAACAAAUGUUGCGCCGACUCCAAAGCACCGUAACCAGAGACACACAAACCAGCGUCUGGUGAAAUGACACCUCUGUAUAUCAGAUUCGAUUUAGUAGGCAAACAAUCAUGUAGAAGCCUCCAAGCGAAAAUUGAUACCUUCAACAGAACCUGUCUGUGCCAAAUCAUCUUCGCUGCUAGGUCCACCGGAGAUAAGUCUGUAGAAUUCAACACGUAAUAAGCCCCCCGAACUGAAUACCCCUGCUUGGGGUCCGGGAUCCACAACCACUGAUCUGAAACAUUAACAAGCAAAGAAACAUCAAACAGAAGAGCCCUACACUCCUCUAACAUCUCCUCCUCCCACACCCACAAUCUCCGCCUCCACUGCCACGCCUCACCCCCUUCCUUGACCCCAAGAGAAAACAAAUAUUGCCACUGUAACAUAUUUAUUCUCAUAAAGCUCAAAUAACCUACGAAAACGAACACACAAAGGAACCGAUCCCAACCAAGUAUCAAACCAAAAAAGAGUAUCAUUCCCAUCCUCUACCUUCCUAGUAACACAAUAAUGAAACCAACCCCCCCUAACAUCACCGUCCCCAUCCCUAAUCCUCCCUACCUCCCGCCACCAAGAAGAACAACUUCGGCCCCCAACCUCCAACCUCCCACAUACUUCGCCAUAACGAGCGACUAAAACUCUAUACCAAAAUCCACCCCUAUCCACUGACAACCUCCAACACCAUUUCCCUAAUAAGGCAAUAUUAAACUCCUUCAACUGUCUAACCCAUAACCCUCCAAACUCCUUUUGGAGACAAACAGAACUCCAAGCUAUCCAAGAUAUUUUCCUAUAAUCCUCACCCCCAUCCCAAAAAAAAAUAUUAAAUAAAGAUUCAAUGGUAGAGAUUAUACCUGACGGAGCUUUGAAGAAGGAAAGUGCAUAGACAGGCCGAGAAGUCAAGACAGCUUUGAGAACAACCAAGCAGCCACCAAAAGAGAGGAAACGACUAUUCCAACCCGACAAUCGAGCUUUAACACGAUUCACAAUUGGAUCCCAGCAACACAAACGACGAGGAUUACCCCCAAUCGACAAACCCAAGUAUAAGAAAGGCACCUUACCCAUUUUACAAUUUAGCACUGACGCGACCUCGCUUAACCAGGAAGGGGCAAUGUUAACCCCCACCAACGAACUCUUAUGGAAAUUAACUUUCAACCCAGACAUUGCCUCAAAGAUAACAAGAACCGCCCUCAUAGCACAUACAUUGGCCCAACUUUUAGUACCCCCCAGCAAAGUAUCAUCAACAAAUUGGAGGUGGGACACCACCACCGGAUUGACGUCCCUGAUGCUAUAACCAUUGAGCAACUGAGUCGCAACCAGCGACCUCAUCAAAACAUUAUGUGCAACGAUCGGAGUCCGAACUCCCAAAUUUUAAUAUACAAUAUUUAAUAUAUGAGGAGUGAUAUUUGAACAACCAUUUGAGGCAACUUUUGAUGACAACUUUUUUUUUCUCUUUUUUUAUUGGUUAAAAACAUUCUCUCUUUUUAUUGGUUAAAAACAAUGGAGAGAGAAAAUAAGAAGAUAUUACGAGUAUGAAAGAAAAAGUUAUGAGAGUUGGAACUUUGUCUGGAUAAUCAAAAUUGUUGGGCGCUAAAGAUUUUUCACCAACAAGCUUAUCUCCUCAUUCCACACCGCAAACACUAUGUCACUAUCUGGUUAUCUCCAACACAACAACACUCACAUUGAACUCUCAAAAUCACCCAUGUCCAACAAAUUGUUUUUCUCCCAGAAUCUUGUUUUAUGUCUCAUCACAACUAAAUCAACAACCUUAAAAUUCAACAACCACUUCUCAUUCCCACUUUCACUCAAAUGCAGCAGCAUCACAACAUCUCAAUCAGAAUCAAUCACACAACCUUUUGCUGUAUCUUAUCUUAUCAACAAUUUUGAUUUCUCAACUGAAUCAGCUCUCAAAGCUUUCAACCUCAGGCACGUUCGUUUCAAUACCCCAGAUAGGCCUGACUCAGUCAUCAACUUCUUAAAAAGCUAUGGCUUUUCAAACUCCAACAUUCGCAUCAU
RNAcentral lists this long non-coding RNA (6883 nucleotides) under Medicago truncatula (barrel medic). Its description in RNAcentral is "long non-coding RNA (MTRU_LNC008265)". The record is from RNAcentral. Lineage: Eukaryota; Viridiplantae; Streptophyta; Magnoliopsida; Fabales; Fabaceae.